AGAGUUUGAUCCUGGCUCAGAAUGAACGCUGGCGGCGUGCUUAACACAUGCAAGUCGUACGAGAACUCUUCUGCUUGCAGAAGAUAGUAAAGUGGCGCACGGGUGAGUAACGCGUGGGUAAUCUACCUCCGAAUUGGGGAUAACCCCGCGAAAGCGGGGCUAAUACCGGAUAAUAUCUUUUAUAUUUCGGCAUUAAAGAUCAAAGGUGGUCUCUACAUGUAAGCUACUGUUUGGAGAUGAGCCCGCGUGCCAUUAGCUUGUUGGUAGGGUAAUGGCCUACCAAGGCUACGAUGGCUAGCUGGUCUGAGAGGAUGAUCAGCCACACUGGAACUGACACACGGUCCAGACUCCUACGGGAGGCAGCAGUGAGGAAUUUUGCGCAAUGGGGGAAACCCUGACGCAGCAACGCCGCGUGAGUGAUGAAGGCUUUCGGGUCGUAAAGCUCUGUCAAGUGGGAAGAACAUGCUCGAUGCUAAUACCAUCGUGCACUGACGGUACCACUGAAGGAAGCACCGGCUAACUCCGUGCCAGCAGCCGCGGUAAUACGGGGGGUGCAAGCGUUAUUCGGAAUUAUUGGGCGUAAAGGGCGCGUAGGCGGUCUCUUAAGUCAGAUGUGAAAGCCCGGGGCUCAACCCCGGAAGUGCAUUUGAAACUAAGGGACUUGAGUAUGGGAGAGGGAAGUGGAAUUCCUGGUGUAGCGGUGAAAUGCGUAGAUAUCAGGAGGAACACCGGUGGCGAAGGCGACUUCCUGGACCAAUACUGACGCUGAGGCCGCGAAGGCGUGGGGAGCAAACAGGAUUAGAUACCCUGGUAGUCCACGCAGUAAACGGUGAACACUAGGUGUAGCGGGUAUUGACCCCUGCUGUGCCGCAGCUAACGCAUUAAGUGUUCCGCCUGGGGAGUACGGCCGCAAGGUUAAAACUCAAAGGAAUUGACGGGGGCCCGCACAAGCGGUGGAGCAUGUGGUUUAAUUCGACGCACGCGAGACCCUUACCUGGAUUUGACAUCCCGAGAAUCAUCGAAGAUGAUGUGCCCUCGGGGACUCCGUGACGUGCUGCAUGCUGUCGUCAGCUCGGGUCUGAAAUGUUGGGUAGUCCCGCAGCGAGCCCACCCCUAUUCUUAGUACCAGCACUCGAUGGGACCUAAGAUCUGCCGGGUUACCGGAGGAGGGUUGAUACCCUCAGCUUCUCUAUGGCCUUAUGGUCCAGGCCUCUACCACGGUGCUCAUCAAUGUGGC
RNAcentral lists this ribosomal RNA (1237 nucleotides) under uncultured prokaryote. Its description in RNAcentral is "partial 16S ribosomal RNA". It matches the Rfam family "Bacterial small subunit ribosomal RNA", at positions 8 to 1236 of the family's 1533-position model. The record is from RNAcentral.